Molecule: ribosomal RNA, 785 nt
Filed under: uncultured bacterium
Lineage: Bacteria
Description: bacterial SSU rRNA
Rfam family: Bacterial small subunit ribosomal RNA
Source: RNAcentral
GAGUGGCGAACUGGGGAGUAGCACGUGGGUAACCUGCCCUUGAAGUAGGGGAUAACACUUGGAAACAGGUGCUAAUACCGUAUAACAACCAAAACCACCUGGUUUUGGUUUAAAAGACGGCUUCGGCUGUCACUUUAGGAUGGACCCGCGGCGUAUUAGCUUGUUGGUAAGGUAACGGCCUACCAAGGCGAUGAUACGUAGCCGACCUGAGAGGGUAAUCGGCCACAUUGGGACUGAGACACGGCCCAAACUCCUACGGGAGGCAGCAGUAGGGAAUCUUCCACAAUGGACGAAAGUCUGAUGGAGCAACGCCGCGUGAGUGAUGAAGGGUUUCGGCUCGUAAAACUCUGUUGUUGGAGAAGAACAGGUGUCAGAGUAACUGUUGACAUCUUGACGGUAUCCAACCAGAAAGCCACGGCUAACUACGUGCCAGCAGCCGCGGUAAUACGUAGGUGGCAAGCGUUGUCCGGAUUUAUUGGGCGUAAAGCGAGCGCAGGCGGUUUUUUAGGUCUGAUGUGAAAGCCUUCGGCUUAACCGGAGAAGUGCAUCGGAAACCGGGAGACUUGAGUGCAGAAGAGGACAGUGGAACUCCAUGUGUAGCGGUGAAAUGCGUAGAUAUAUGGAAGAACACCAGUGGCGAAGGCGGCUGUCUGGUCUGUAACUGACGCUGAGGCUCGAAAGCAUGGGUAGCGAACAGGAUUAGAUACCCUGGUAGUCCAUGCCGUAAACGAUGAGUGCUAAGUGUUGGAGGGUUUCCGCCCUUCAGUGCUGCAGCUAACGCAUUA